Long non-coding RNA from Leptidea sinapis, 1980 nucleotides. RefSeq lists it as uncharacterized. The transcript is spliced from 2 exons. The record is from RefSeq and is a predicted model, not a curated record. Lineage: Eukaryota; Metazoa; Arthropoda; Insecta; Lepidoptera; Pieridae.
GACCGAACGUCUGCGAGCUCGGCGGGGUCUGCGGGGGCGGGGGCGGGGGCGGGGCGAGUGAGGGCCGCGCUACGACCGGGACCUGACCUGCACCAUCACCCAGCCGAUUUCCUGGACAACCUCCGUGAGACACAGCGACAACGACUGGGGGCUCCGCCUCGUGCGCCUCCCCCGCUGCCGCCCAAGCCACCCACACUCGUGUGAACGACACCGGCCGCUCGCUCGUGUCGCGACCUCCUCUGUGAUAUACACGCCGACAGCUGUCAGACGUCCUGUCAGUGUCAACUGUCAUGAGUGCGCUGUCAGCCAGGACAGCCGUGAACAUCCAGCAAUCGAGACAGCAUCUAUGACCGAACAAGAAAAUAAUGAACAGUAUUCAGUAUUGAAUAGACUCCGGAACAACGAUUCGCUGUAUGUCAAAUGUUGCUAGUUAUUGUAGACUCCAUCAAGUACAGUUAACAACCUCAUAAAUAUCUCACCUACUCUAAUUAAUCAUCAGGCAACUGACAUUAAUCACUGCUGUAUUUUAUGAUGAGUUUAUUUUUAUAUAAUGUAAAUACCUCAACCAAUUGACAUCUAGGUAGUAGUAGGUAGGUAGUCUUCAGUUGGCCGAAUGUUUCGCCCCACUUGACAAUAUUAUUACUAAAAAAAGCUCAAUGGGGUUUUAUCGUACCCGUGACCCGUAAACAUGUAUAAUAUAGUAUUAUUGUUGUAAAGUUGCAUUUAAAAUGUUAUUUAUUGUAUUUGUAAGUAAGUCAGUUUAAUGUUCAUCAAAUGUUUUGUAUAAUUAAUUACAAUUAGUGUAAAUAAAGGGCUUCCUUGUAUGAAAACAUUUUGUUAUGAUGUAAAUAGUAUCUUGUAUAACACAUAAUUAUUAUAUCAUAUAAAAAAUCUAUACAAUCUGCCCUUGUUGCGGUGAAUAACGUUAAUACACAGUAAUUUGUGAGUUAUAAACUAAAUUUCCUUAAAUCUUAUAAGUAAAGUUCUAAAUAAGUAUGUAAUAGAAAUGUUAUAAGUUGUAAUUCCUUGCGUGACCACUGUUGCCUAUAAAUACAUACAUUGGUACAUGUUAUUUCAACACUCCUUGAGGGUCUUUUAUUGGUGUUAAAAAUAAUGGCGAUACGAAUAAAUAAAGAAUCUCAUAGUCAAAAAGUUAUUGCCAUUUAUUUUAUUAAAAAAUAAACAGCAGUUUACAAAACAGUUAUCAACAAUGAUGCGCCCUGCCCAUUACAAUGCAGUGCCGCUCAGGAUUCUUGAUAAAACCCAAAAAUUCUGCGCGCCACUACAACUGCGCUCGUCACCUUGAAACAUAAGUUAACUUGAAAGUUAAGUCUCAUUUGCCCAGUAAUUUCACUAGCUACGGCGCGCCCUUCAGACCGAAACACAGUAAUGUUUACACAUUACUGCUUCACGGCAGAAAUAGGCGCCGUUGUGGUACCCAUAAUAUAGUCGGCAUCCUGUGCAAAGGAGCCUCCCACUGGUGAAUAAUAAUAAAUAUACUGCAAUACACCCUAUUAUACGUUGUUUCACCUAUUAGCAAUUUAUUCACUGGUGAUCUAUGAGGCACCUGUGAGGCAACAUAUUUAAACGCGUUUCUCUCACUAUUUCUACUUCUUAUUUAGAUUCUCACUCUGGGUUCAAUAUCGGUGAAAACUUGCAAAAUAAUUUAUACCUAUGAAUAUUGUUUUUUUAUAAGUCCUAAUUAUACGCUAUAGAUAGAUACUAAAAUAUAAUAUAUUAUGUACAAGAAUUUUUCGUUUUAAUAUAUAAGAAUGUAACUGUACAUAUACAAUAGGUAUAUAUUUUUUGAGAGAUUGUGAUAGAUAUUAGAGAGAUACAAGCGGGAGUAUUAAAGCACAUUUAGUUAUUAUAUUGUUGUCAUUGUAAAUGGCUACUAGCAUGUACUGGCUAUUGAGAGUAUAUUUUGUAAAUGAAGUGGUCCAAAUCACUAUUGUUUAAAAUAAAUUAAUAAUUAUUUAA